This 2926-nucleotide ribosomal RNA is filed under the name Escherichia coli O1:H42. RNAcentral's name for it is "23S ribosomal RNA". It matches the Rfam family "Bacterial large subunit ribosomal RNA". Lineage: Bacteria; Pseudomonadati; Pseudomonadota; Gammaproteobacteria; Enterobacterales; Enterobacteriaceae. The record is from RNAcentral.
GGGUUGUGAGGUUAAGCGACUAAGCGUACACGGUGGAUGCCCUGGCAGUCAGAGGCGAUGAAGGACGUGCUAAUCUGCGAUAAGCGUCGGUAAGGUGAUAUGAACCGUUAUAACCGGCGAUUUCCGAAUGGGGAAACCCAGUGUGUUUCGACACACUAUCAUUAACUGAAUCCAUAGGUUAAUGAGGCGAACCGGGGGAACUGAAACAUCUAAGUACCCCGAGGAAAAGAAAUCAACCGAGAUUCCCCCAGUAGCGGCGAGCGAACGGGGAGCAGCCCAGAGCCUGAAUCAGUGUGUGUGUUAGUGGAAGCGUCUGGAAAGGCGCGCGAUACAGGGUGACAGCCCCGUACACAAAAAUGCACAUACUGUGAGCUCGAUGAGUAGGGCGGGACACGUGGUAUCCUGUCUGAAUAUGGGGGGACCAUCCUCCAAGGCUAAAUACUCCUGACUGACCGAUAGUGAACCAGUACCGUGAGGGAAAGGCGAAAAGAACCCCGGCGAGGGGAGUGAAAAAGAACCUGAAACCGUGUACGUACAAGCAGUGGGAGCCUCUUAAUGGGGUGACUGCGUACCUUUUGUAUAAUGGGUCAGCGACUUAUAUUCUGUAGCAAGGUUAACCGAAUAGGGGAGCCGAAGGGAAACCGAGUCUUAACUGGGCGUUAAGUUGCAGGGUAUAGACCCGAAACCCGGUGAUCUAGCCAUGGGCAGGUUGAAGGUUGGGUAACACUAACUGGAGGACCGAACCGACUAAUGUUGAAAAAUUAGCGGAUGACUUGUGGCUGGGGGUGAAAGGCCAAUCAAACCGGGAGAUAGCUGGUUCUCCCCGAAAGCUAUUUAGGUAGCGCCUCGUGAAUUCAUCUCCGGGGGUAGAGCACUGUUUCGGCAAGGGGGUCAUCCCGACUUACCAACCCGAUGCAAACUGCGAAUACCGGAGAAUGUUAUCACGGGAGACACACGGCGGGUGCUAACGUCCGUCGUGAAGAGGGAAACAACCCAGACCGCCAGCUAAGGUCCCAAAGUCAUGGUUAAGUGGGAAACGAUGUGGGAAGGCCCAGACAGCCAGGAUGUUGGCUUAGAAGCAGCCAUCAUUUAAAGAAAGCGUAAUAGCUCACUGGUCGAGUCGGCCUGCGCGGAAGAUGUAACGGGGCUAAACCAUGCACCGAAGCUGCGGCAGCGACGUUUAUGCGUUGUUGGGUAGGGGAGCGUUCUGUAAGCCUGCGAAGGUGUACUGUGAGGUAUGCUGGAGGUAUCAGAAGUGCGAAUGCUGACAUAAGUAACGAUAAAGCGGGUGAAAAGCCCGCUCGCCGGAAGACCAAGGGUUCCUGUCCAACGUUAAUCGGGGCAGGGUGAGUCGACCCCUAAGGCGAGGCCGAAAGGCGUAGUCGAUGGGAAACAGGUUAAUAUUCCUGUACUUGGUGUUACUGCGAAGGGGGGACGGAGAAGGCUAUGUUGGCCGGGCGACGGUUGUCCCGGUUUAAGCGUGUAGGCUGGUUUUCCAGGCAAAUCCGGAAAAUCAAGGCUGAGGCGUGAUGACGAGGCACUACGGUGCUGAAGCAACAAAUGCCCUGCUUCCAGGAAAAGCCUCUAAGCAUCAGGUAACAUCAAAUCGUACCCCAAACCGACACAGGUGGUCAGGUAGAGAAUACCAAGGCGCUUGAGAGAACUCGGGUGAAGGAACUAGGCAAAAUGGUGCCGUAACUUCGGGAGAAGGCACGCUGAUAUGUAGGUGAAGUCCCUCGCGGAUGGAGCUGAAAUCAGUCGAAGAUACCAGCUGGCUGCAACUGUUUAUUAAAAACACAGCACUGUGCAAACACGAAAGUGGACGUAUACGGUGUGACGCCUGCCCGGUGCCGGAAGGUUAAUUGAUGGGGUUAGCGGUAACGCGAAGCUCUUGAUCGAAGCCCCGGUAAACGGCGGCCGUAACUAUAACGGUCCUAAGGUAGCGAAAUUCCUUGUCGGGUAAGUUCCGACCUGCACGAAUGGCGUAAUGAUGGCCAGGCUGUCUCCACCCGAGACUCAGUGAAAUUGAACUCGCUGUGAAGAUGCAGUGUACCCGCGGCAAGACGGAAAGACCCCGUGAACCUUUACUAUAGCUUGACACUGAACAUUGAGCCUUGAUGUGUAGGAUAGGUGGGAGGCUUUGAAGUGUGGACGCCAGUCUGCAUGGAGCCGGCCUUGAAAUACCACCCUUUAAUGUUUGAUGUUCUAACGUUGGCCCCUGAUCGGGGUUGCGGACAGUGUCUGGUGGGUAGUUUGACUGGGGCGGUCUCCUCCUAAAGAGUAACGGAGGAGCACGAAGGUUGGCUAAUCCUGGUCGGACAUCAGGAGGUUAGUGCAAUGGCAUAAGCCAGCUUGACUGCGAGCGUGACGGCGCGAGCAGGUGCGAAAGCAGGUCAUAGUGAUCCGGUGGUUCUGAAUGGAAGGGCCAUCGCUCAACGGAUAAAAGGUACUCCGGGGAUAACAGGCUGAUACCGCCCAAGAGUUCAUAUCGACGGCGGUGUUUGGCACCUCGAUGUCGGCUCAUCACAUCCUGGGGCUGAAGUAGGUCCCAAGGGUAUGGCUGUUCGCCAUUUAAAGUGGUACGCGAGCUGGGUUUAGAACGUCGUGAGACAGUUCGGUCCCUAUCUGCCGUGGGCGCUGGAGAACUGAGGGGGGCUGCUCCUAGUACGAGAGGACCGGAGUGGACGCAUCACUGGUGUUCGGGUUGUCAUGCCAAUGGCACUGCCCGGUAGCUAAAUGCGGAAGAGAUAAGUGCUGAAAGCAUCUAAGCACGAAACUUGCCCCGAGAUGAGUUCUCCCUGACUCCUUGAGAGUCCUGAAGGAACGUUGAAGACGACGACGUUGAUAGGCCGGGUGUGUAAGCGCAGCGAUGCGUUGAGCUAACCGGUACUAAUGAACCGUGAGGCUUAACCUUACAACGCCGAAG